UGUAGCGGGACCUGGGUAACCUGGCUUGUUAUCCCCUUUGGUUAGAGUAGGUCAGACCCAUUUCCCCAGUAACAGGACGGGACACAGUUCUAGGAUACAACAUUUGACAAUGUUUAUUGGGCAUACAGCUUUUUAUGCACAGACCCCCACAGGGGGUCUCCAUCCAGCACAGCACACACACACAUACAGGAGGGGGGCUGGGGAACUGAUAACCAUCUCCUGCUCUGGGAGAUAUUGACAGGACACAGGGACACGCAUGAGUACACUUCACAUACAGGGGGGUAAACUUUGGGGCUCGGCGCUUCUGGACGGGAAGGGGGUACAGGGUUACUUUUAUAUGGGGGAAUAGCCCUGGGUCCCAUCUGGGACCCCUGCAAAAAGUGGGGUGAUCAGAUGUACAGAGCCAGAGAUAUCAGCGUCGGAAGUCUGGGGCUCAAGGCUCUGUACAUCCCUGGAAUCCGUUCCAUGGUGUUGCUUGGUUUAGUCCGGUGAAUUCAAAUUUUGCACCUAAACCAAGCAAUGACCAAUCAGCCGAACUUGCGUGAACCAAAUCAGCGUUAAGGGGAGGAAGGAGUUUCGCCGCCCAAUUAGAAGAUAGGGCGCGAAACCCGUUGUCAC
Pelobates cultripes (western spadefoot toad) is the source of this 618-nucleotide non-coding RNA. Lineage: Eukaryota; Metazoa; Chordata; Amphibia; Anura; Pelobatidae. The record is from the annotation of a GenBank genome assembly.